This 72-nucleotide transfer RNA is filed under the name Camelus bactrianus (Bactrian camel). It matches the Rfam family "tRNA". From Rfam's summary of the family: Transfer RNA (tRNA) molecules are approximately 80 nucleotides in length. Their secondary structure includes four short double-helical elements and three loops (D, anti-codon, and T loops). The record is from Rfam by way of RNAcentral. Lineage: Eukaryota; Metazoa; Chordata; Mammalia; Artiodactyla; Camelidae. RNAcentral also lists the same sequence under 2 other names.
GUGGGUAUAGCUCAGUGGUAAAGUGCAUGCUUAGCAUGUACAAGGUCUUGGGUUCAGUUCCCAGUACCUCUG